This 2517-nucleotide long non-coding RNA is filed under the name Homo sapiens (human). Its description in RNAcentral is "HSALNT0292677". The record is from RNAcentral. Lineage: Eukaryota; Metazoa; Chordata; Mammalia; Primates; Hominidae.
UGUGCUUCUCUUCUUCCUCCCACCCUCCACCCUCAAGUAGACCCCAGUGUCUUUCAUUCCCCAAAAGCUAACAUUUUAAACCAGCCCAAAAUAUAAUAAUUUUAAUCUGAAGUGGCAUGUGAUUUCUGUUAAUGAUAAAAAAGAUAACAUUUGAAAAGGAGUCCUUUUGAUAACCCAUGUAUUAAGGACUAAAUGUUUGUACCUUCUCCCACCCCCAGAAUCAUAUGUGAAACCCUAACAACCAAUGUGAAUGUAUUUGGAGAUAGGGUCAUAAGCAGAUGGUAGAGUUUAAAUGAGGUCAUAAGGGUGGAGCCCUAAUCUGAUAGAGCUGUUGCACUUUUCAGAAGAGGAAGAGAUACUGGAACGUGUCUCUGUCUGUGUGCAUUCAGAAAGAAGGCCAUGUGAUACAGUUUGGAUGUUGCCUCCAACCAAAUGUCAUGUCAAAAUGUAAUCUUCAGUAUUGGAGGGGAGGCAUGGUGGGGGGAGAUUGGGUCCCCCCACCCAGUGGAGGCAAGUUUCUCAUGAAUGGUUUAGCACCAUCCCCCUUGGUACUGUCUUCACAAUAGUGAGCUCUCAUGAUAUUUGGUCAUUUAAAAGUGUGUAGCACUUCCCCCUUCACGUUCUCUUGCUCCUGCUCUGGCCAUGUGACAUGCCUAUUCCCUCUUCACCUUCUGGCAUGACUGUUAAGUUUCCUGUGGCCUCCCUGGAAGCUGAGCAGAUUCCAUCAUCAUGCUUCCUGUACAGUCUGCAGAACCAUGAGCCAAUUAAGCCUCUUUUCUUUAUAAAUUACCCAGUCUGAGGUACUUCUUUAUAGCACUGCAAGAAUGGACUAAUACGCUAUGUGAAGACAAAGGGGAUGUCUGCAAGCCAGGACGAGUGCGUCUACCAGAAACUGAGUUCUGCUGGACUUUGAUCUAGGACAUCCAGCCUCCAGAAUGGAAUGUGCCAUAUGUGGAGACCUGCAUGGAAAGGAACUGAGGAUGCUCUCUCACUAAAAGCUAGAAGGAACUGAGGCCCUCAGUCAACAGUCUACAAGACACUGAAUCUUGCCAGCAGCCAAGCAGUGAGCUUGAAAGCAGAUCUAUCAUCAGCUGAACCUUCAGAUGAGACCGCAGCCUAAGCAGAUACCUUGGUUGCAGCCAUGUGAGACAACCUGAAACAGAGGGCACAGCUAAGCCUCAGCCAGGUUCAUGACCCUCUGAGGAAACUGUGAGAAAGCAAAUGUCAUUUUAAGCUAUUUAAUUUUGGAGGUAGUUUAUUACACAACAAUAAAUAACUAUUAUAAUUAUCUUGAGGAUUUAUUUCCUGGGGAGAAUACAUGGAAUUGCAUAUAUAGGUCCUCAUAUGCAGAAUACUGGUACCCUAGAGAUGUUCACCCCAGAGAUGUUUUAGGAACCUGUGAAUAUGUUACAUUAAAUGGCAAAGUUUUCCUGGAUGGUUUAAGUUUAAGAUGGAAAAGUUUUACUGGAUUAUCCAGUGGGUCCAAUCUAGUAACAUGAGUCCUUAAAAAUGGAGAAUAUUUUUUGGCCAUGAUCAGAGAGACAUGUGAUGAUGGAAAAAGUGUCAGAGAUGCAAUGUGAGGGGACUAAAACUGCUGUUGCUGACUUUAAAGAUGGAGAGAGGGGAACCCGAGUCAAGGAAUGCAAAUGGCCUCUGGAAGCUGGAAAAAGCAAGAAAUGGAUUCUCCUUUAGAGCCUGUGGAAUAAAAUGCAGUCAUGCUGACACCUUGAUUUUACCUCAGUGAGACCAAUACUGGAGUAUGACCUUCGGAGCUGAAUAAAAUUAUACGUACACAUCUUAAUUUCUUGGGAUUUGAUUACUUCUUCUGCUUUGAAAUUAGACCAAGUUUAGCCUGCCUUUGCUAUUUUGGCGUAUCUCCAAUUCUUCAUGAUUUUCUCAUCGCAAAGGCCACAUAAGGACAGUGAGAAGGCAGCCACCUGCAAGCCAGGAAGAAAGGUCUCACCAGAUACCAACCCUGCCAGCAUGUUGAUCUUGGACUUCCAGCCUCCAAAACUGGCCUUCUGCUCACAUGGGCUUCCGUGCACCUGCUUCAGGAGACAGCAACACUUGCGCCCGCACCGCGGCAGGCUCCCAUCACCUGGUGGAUAUGCCGCGCCGAGUCUCAUCACACCUUAGUGAAGGAACACAUGGACCCAUAUGUUAGCGGAUGUAUUUACAUCGUUUUAUACAGAAAGGGGAAGAAAACUGCAUACCUCAGAAAGGGGUUGCUCCUCACUCUGAGUACUAGACUAAAGAUAAAAAGACUAGAUAAAAGUACUAGACUAAAGACAGAGCUGACCCAUGACAGGAAACCAAUACAGAGUUUUGUACUGGAAAGUGAGGUGCUGCUGUAACAAGUACCUGAGAAUGUGGGAGUGGCUUUGGAAUUCAGAAUUGGGUAAUGAGUAGAGGUUUGAAGAAUUUUGAAGCCUUUAUUGCUUUGAAGAGAUUAUUUGUGAAAAUAUGAAUGUUACAGGUGCUUCUGGUGAAAACUCACAUGGAAAUGAGGAACAUGUU